Etheostoma spectabile (orangethroat darter) is the source of this 120-nucleotide long non-coding RNA. RefSeq lists it as uncharacterized. The record is from RefSeq and is a predicted model, not a curated record. NCBI's taxonomy places the organism in Eukaryota, Metazoa, Chordata, Actinopteri, Perciformes, Percidae. The transcript has 3 exons.
CUUUUUUAUUUUGCAAACCUAUAUCAUGCACAAACAAGAUAUAUAAGACAAUAACGGAAAGGGGAAAAGCCAAAAAGCAUAAUAUAAGCACUUUGAGGAAAACUUCUUGUAUAGUCAAAA